RNAcentral lists this ribosomal RNA (225 nucleotides) under uncultured bacterium. RNAcentral describes it as "partial 16S ribosomal RNA". It matches the Rfam family "Bacterial small subunit ribosomal RNA", at positions 109 to 334 of the family's 1533-position model. The record is from RNAcentral.
AGUAACGCGUGGGUAACCUGCCUCAUACAGGGGGAUAACGAUUGGAAACGAUUGCUAAUACCGCAUAAGCGCACAGUACCACAUGGUGCAGUGUGAAAAACUCCGGUGGUAUGAGAUGGACCCGCGUCUGAUUAGCUAGUUGGUGAGGUAACGGCCCACCAAGGCAACGAUCAGUAGCCGACCUGAGAGGGUGACCGGCCACAUUGGGACUGAGACACGGCCCAG